This 68-nucleotide transfer RNA is filed under the name Hemiphyllodactylus sp. 3 PLW-2014. RNAcentral's name for it is "tRNA-Trp". Lineage: Eukaryota; Metazoa; Chordata; Lepidosauria; Squamata; Gekkonidae. The record is from RNAcentral.
GAACUUAGGUUAACUAUAAACCAAGGACCUUCAAAGCCCUAAAUACGAGCCCCCGCUCAUAGUUCCUG